RNAcentral lists this ribosomal RNA (900 nucleotides) under Eutypella sp. KUC21241. RNAcentral's name for it is "eukaryotic LSU rRNA". It matches the Rfam family "Eukaryotic large subunit ribosomal RNA", at positions 74 to 999 of the family's 3401-position model. The record is from RNAcentral. Lineage: Eukaryota; Fungi; Ascomycota; Sordariomycetes; Xylariales; Diatrypaceae.
AUUGCCCUAGUAACGGCGAGUGAAGCGGCAACAGCUCAAAUUUGAAAUCUGGCCCUAUUGGUCCGAAUUGUAAUUUGUAGAGGAUGCUUUGGGCGCGGUGCCUUCCGAGUUCCUUGGAACAGGACGCCUUAGAGGGUGAGAGCCCCGUACGGUUGGACACCAAGCCUAUGUAAAGCUCCUUCGACGAGUCGAGUAGUUUGGGAAUGCUGCUCUAAAUGGGAGGUAAAUUUCUUCUAAAGCUAAAUACCGGCCAGAGACCGAUAGCGCACAAGUAGAGUGAUCGAAAGAUGAAAAGUACUUUGAAAAGAGGGUUAAAUAGCACGUGAAAUUGUUGAAAGGGAAGCAUUUAUGACCAGACCUUUGCUAGGUGGAUCAUCCGGUGUUCUUCACCGGUGCACUUCGCCUAGCUUAGGCCAGCAUCGAUUUCUGUAGGGGGAUAAAGGUCUAGGGAACGUAGCUCUCUUCGGAGAGUGUUAUAGCCCUGGGCGUAAUACCCUUACGGGGAUCGAGGUUCGCGCUUCGGCAAGGAUGCUGGCAUAAUGGUCAUCAAUGACCCGUCUUGAAACACGGACCAAGGAGUCGAACAUUUAUGCGAGUGUUUGGGUGUCAAACCCUCACGCGUAAUGAAAGUGAACGGAGGUGAGAGCCCUUACGGGUGCAUCAUCGACCGAUCCUGAUGUCUUCGGAUGGAUUUGAGUAAGAGCAUAACUGUUCGGACCCGAAAGAUGGUGAACUAUGCGUGGAUAGGGUGAAGCCAGAGGAAACUCUGGUGGAGGCUCGCAGCGGUUCUGACGUGCAAAUCGAUCGUCAAAUCUGCGCAUGGGGGCGAAAGACUUAUCGAACCAUCUAGUAGCUGGUUACCGCCGAAGUUUCCCUCAGGAUAGCAGUGUUGUUUUCGGG